This 582-nucleotide unclassified non-coding RNA is filed under the name Hevea brasiliensis (rubber tree). Lineage: Eukaryota; Viridiplantae; Streptophyta; Magnoliopsida; Malpighiales; Euphorbiaceae. The record is from RNAcentral.
UUCCUAUUCCAUUUUAGUUUCCUAGAGAGUAGAUUUGUUUUCGUAUUAGUUUUAGAGCUUUAAUUAAUAAAAUUCAGGAGAGUUUUUCUCUCAAUAAUUAUGUAUUGUGUAGAAAGUGUUCUAUUUGAACUUUACGCUGCAUCAGGUGAUGUCAAAGAAGGGAAAUCGCCCCAAUCAACAUAACUAACCUUGAGGAGGUGGUGAUAAUAGUGUUUCUCGUGACGGUGAUUGAGGAACUUGAGCCCUCGACCACAGAGACAACGCAUUACAACGAUUGAAGCAACGUCGGGAGCAACAAAUGGAUCUCAACAUCUGAGUGUACAUGUAGACACUUCGAAGAAAUUGCAAAUCGUCUUGAUGCUUUGGGAAAUUAAAUAAACAAGAAUUGAGUUGACUAAAGAAGUCCAGGAGAUGAUGUAGCUCAUGGUGACCCUAUUUAUCAACCAAUUCCUAUAAAUAAGCGAUAUAUCUAUGUAGUCUUUUUGUGGUUUUGUGCCUGUGGAUUUAGGCUCUUCGCAGCCAAAUCACAUAAAUUAUUCUAUUGUUACCUUUCUCCUUUCUUCUUUCUUUCUAAAAACUUUA